Puntigrus tetrazona (Sumatra barb) is the source of this 2609-nucleotide long non-coding RNA. RefSeq lists it as uncharacterized. Lineage: Eukaryota; Metazoa; Chordata; Actinopteri; Cypriniformes; Cyprinidae. The transcript is spliced from 3 exons. The record is from RefSeq and is a predicted model, not a curated record.
UCCUGUUUCUGACUUCCUGCAGUUCACUUACUUCCUUCUUGUAUUGUAAUAAGCAGAUGUUAGCGUCAGAGGAAUUUCAAAAGGCUGAAUUAAAAGCACACGAGCAGAGCCUCAGUAACCUCCACAUCGCUGUAAGACACGUGAUCAUGUUCUGAACGUCUCCUGAGAAGAGAAGUCCCUGUCCCGGUCUCGGUUCCCAGCGUGAGGUCAGUCCGAGAUAAAAGACACUUCCUGGUUGUUCUGAGUACAGUGCAUCCUGGGAAAAUGGGAAGAAGAAAGCAUUAAGUCUGAAGAACUUCCAGCUCCAUUCCUUCAGACUGCUUCCUCUGGUGGUUCCUGUUUAAAAACCUAGGGUUUAAUCACGGAAGAGGAUGCUGUCAAUGAGCAGGACUGAUGGAGAACACGAGAGCAAUCCAGAGCCUGUGUGUUUUGCUGAGAUGGAGGAUGAUGGAGGUUUUGUUUCUGACAGCUGUGAAUAAAUGUGUGUGAGUCACUCCGUUGAGGAACUUCUCUGGAGACUCUCUCGAGGAUGCUUAGUCAGCCUGUGAAUACAUCAGAUACAUGAGGUUCAAAAGUCAGGGAAUGAACCUGAAAUACACAGAAAGAUUGAGCGUCUGAUGUGAAACAUCUUCAUCGGCACUAAACCCACCGUCUCUUGAGGUUUUUAAUUGGGAAAUGAGAUCCGUUUGCUUGUCUCUGCUGCAAGGAAGCAUUGGUUUCCAUUUCAUUAAAAAGUCGUAUCUCGUUGUCUUCAUUAAGGAAAGUGACUGUGUUGGUUUUUGCUCUUUUGGUUCUGCUCCCAGCAGCUUGGACUAGAGAUUGAUCUGUAUUAUAUGUUUUAUCUCUCACUUCUGUCUCCAUCAGAGUCAGGAUGAUUUCUGCUUCACCGAAGCCCUGCUCUUUCUCCUUCAGCUGCUGGGAAACUUGACAUUAUCUGCUCAAUGUGACGCGACACAGAGCUUAACUACAGUCCUCUGAUGUUCCCGUCCACCGCCUGAAAGCCCUCACCUGUCAUCUACUUCUGACUCUUUACUGCGGCACUCUUUAACCUGAAGAAGAGGCAAAAGCAAGUGCGUUCUUAGACCUUUGCUUUAACAAUGAAGAUGGUUUCUUUAUUGCGAGUUUCCCCGGCUGUGUUUGGGAUCAGUACAUUUCAUCAUCAUCAUCAUCUUCAUCAUCGUCAUCAUCCUGGUACUAACGAGGGGCAGGACUGAUUUCUAAUUACCGGUGCACCUCCCUUUCUUCAUGUGUUCAGUACAUUCUAUUUUAUUCCACAUGAAUCUGAACAAGUUAGUUUGUAUUUUCUCUGUAUGUGUGGAUAGCGCAGGUUGUUAUCGGCACCUGGUGAAUAUUUCAAGUCAACAGCACCUUUCGAAGGGUAUUAACCGAGAAAAACGUUGACGCGUUCAGUCCUUGUUUUAUCUAAACGAGCUCCUGAAGGGCCGUGGAAGCAGCUGAUGCUCAGACUUAUUUGCAUCGGCCCACGCUCGGAUUCAACACAUGAGCGAGAGAAGAGCAGAGUCAGUCUCCUCUCAGUGACUCAUCACGCUGCUGCUGCCAACCGCUUCGUCUUGACAAGAGAGAGCGGAGGAGCUGAGGAUGAUGAGGAUGAAGAUCCCAGCAGGAGGUGUGUGUGUGAGAGACUGUCCUCUGGGCAUAUGUGCCCUCUCUCCAAACACUACAAACACGUCCAGCCCACGCUGAGUGGGAACACGCUAUUUACACGCCUGCAUGCCGCACGCUAUUUUUACACCCCAUGCAUAGGAUGAAGGAAGGAAGAGGAGGAGGACUGGCUAUUUAAGUCAGAAAGAGAGGAACGCAGAGGUCUUAUAAAACAACUGUAAAAGUCAAAAUACACUUCUGAUUGUUCCCUUAGCAUAUUUAUAUGAUGAUAUGUGACCCUGAAGCACCAAACCAGUCAUAUAAUGCUUUCUUAUUUUCAUUUUUUGAAUAAAUACUCUGGUUUGUUAUGAUUCAUACAACUAUUAGAAAAUCUGGAAUUUGAGGAAGCAAAAAAUCUUGAAAAAAAAUCACCUUUAAAGUUGUUCAAAUGAAGGUCUUAGCGGUGUAUAUUACUAAUCAGAAAUAAAGUUUUGAUAUAUUUAUGGAAGAAAACUGACUAAAUAUCAUCAUAGUACAGGAUCAUUACUUAAUAUCCUAAUGAUUUUUGGCACAAAAGAAAAAUGUGUAAUUUUGACCCAUACAGGAUCUAACGCUGUUCUUCAGAGACACGUAAACACAUGCUAACUAGCUGAGUAUUAAUUGGUUAGGAUUAGUGGAAUAAGUUGACAUGUAGCUGGAAACCUAAGUCUCCUCUUAAGUCUCUUUGGAUAAAAGUGUCUGCUAAAUGAACCAAUGAGAAUGAGUUCUUGGUCUAUUUCCACCUCUGUUCUUGUUCUGGAUGGUGUUUCUGGAUCAUAACUUCACUUCUUAUUGCCUUUUUUAAGAUGAAUCGCUUGUUGUUUUCAAAUAUUUCACCUGACUUUUCCUGUUUGUCUGAUUUAUGUUGCAGUGCUGUCAUAUACAACACACCAGAGAGAAAUGCUCAACUUUACUUCUUUCACUUCAUUUUUUCAUCAGUAUGCAAAAUUAAACCAACACUAGAUCUU